GCUUUAAUAGUCAAAUUAUUAUAUGAUAUUAGAUUGCAAAUCUAAAGUAGGAAUAUAGCCUUAAAGCU
RNAcentral lists this transfer RNA (68 nucleotides) under Scotinophara lurida. RNAcentral's name for it is "tRNA-Cys". Lineage: Eukaryota; Metazoa; Arthropoda; Insecta; Hemiptera; Pentatomidae. The record is from RNAcentral.